This 262-nucleotide ribosomal RNA is filed under the name uncultured bacterium. RNAcentral's name for it is "partial 16S ribosomal RNA". It matches the Rfam family "Bacterial small subunit ribosomal RNA", at positions 99 to 354 of the family's 1533-position model. The record is from RNAcentral.
CGCACGGGUGAGUAACACGUGAGUGACCUGCCUUUUAGACCGGAACAACUUACCGAAAGGUGAGCUAAUGCCGGAUGAGUUAUAUAAGUGCAUGUUUAUAUAGGAAAAGUUGGGGAGACCUGACGCUGAAAGAUGGACUCGCGUCCCAUUAGCUAGUUGGUAGGGUAAUGGCCUACCAAGGCGACGAUGGGUAGCCGGCCUGAGAGGGUGGCCGGCCACACUGGGACUGAGACACGGCCCAGACUCCUACGGAAGGCAGCAG